UACGGAGGGUGCAAGCGUUAAUCGGAAUUACUGGGCGUAAAGCGCGCGUAGGUGGUUUGUUAAGUUGGAUGUAAAAUCCCCGGGCUUAACCUGGGAACUGCGUUUGAAACUACAGAGCUAGAGUGUGGCAGAGGGGGGUGGAAUUCCAUGUGUAGCAGUGAAAUGCGUAGAGAUAUGGAAGAACAUCGAUGGCGAAGGCAGCCCCCUGGGUUAACACUGACGCUCAGGCACGAAAGCGUGGGGAGCAAACAGG
Molecule: ribosomal RNA, 253 nt
Filed under: uncultured bacterium
Lineage: Bacteria
Description: partial 16S ribosomal RNA
Rfam family: Bacterial small subunit ribosomal RNA
Source: RNAcentral